RNAcentral lists this ribosomal RNA (253 nucleotides) under uncultured bacterium. Its description in RNAcentral is "partial 16S ribosomal RNA". It matches the Rfam family "Bacterial small subunit ribosomal RNA", at positions 524 to 776 of the family's 1533-position model. The record is from RNAcentral.
UACAGAGGGGGCAAGCGUUGUUCGGAAUUACUGGGCGUAAAGGGCGCGUAGGCGGCCCGCUAAGUCGAACGUGAAAUCCCCGAGCUCAACUCGGGAACUGCGUCCGAUACUGGUGGGCUUGAAUCCGGGAGAGGGAUGCAGAAUUCCAGGUGUAGCGGUGAAAUGCGUAGAUAUCUGGAGGAAUACCGGUGGCGAAGGCGGCAUCCUGGACCGGCAUUGACGCUGAGGAGCGAAAGCUAGGGGAGCAAACGGG